RNAcentral lists this ribosomal RNA (2835 nucleotides) under Escherichia coli. RNAcentral's name for it is "bacterial LSU rRNA". It matches the Rfam family "Bacterial large subunit ribosomal RNA". The record is from RNAcentral. Lineage: Bacteria; Pseudomonadati; Pseudomonadota; Gammaproteobacteria; Enterobacterales; Enterobacteriaceae.
GGGUUGUGAGGUUAAGCGACUAAGCGUACACGGUGGAUGCCCUGGCAGUCAGAGGCGAUGAAGGACGUGCUAAUCUGCGAUAAGCGUCGGUAAGGUGAUAUGAACCGUUAUAACCGGCGAUUUCCGAAUGGGGAAACCCAGUGUGAUUCGUCACACUAUCAUUAACUGAAUCCAUAGGUUAAUGAGGCGAACCGGGGGAACUGAAACAUCUAAGUACCCCGAGGAAAAGAAAUCAACCGAGAUUCCCCCAGUAGCGGCGAGCGAACGGGGAGCAGCCCAGAGCCUGAAUCAGUGUGUGUGUUAGUGGAAGCGUCUGGAAAGGCGCGCGAUACAGGGUGACAGCCCCGUACACAAAAAUGCACAUACUGUGAGCUCGAUGAGUAGGGCGGGACACGUGGUAUCCUGUCUGAAUAUGGGGGGACCAUCCUCCAAGGCUAAAUACUCCUGACUGACCGAUAGUGAACCAGUACCGUGAGGGAAAGGCGAAAAGAACCCCGGCGAGGGGAGUGAAAAAGAACCUGAAACCGUGUACGUACAAGCAGUGGGAGCACGCUUAGGCGUGUGACUGCGUACCUUUUGUAUAAUGGGUCAGCGACUUAUAUUCUGUAGCAAGGUUAACCGAAUAGGGGAGCCGAAGGGAAACCGAGUCUUAACUGGGCGUUAAGUUGCAGGGUAUAGACCCGAAACCCGGUGAUCUAGCCAUGGGCAGGUUGAAGGUUGGGUAACACUAACUGGAGGACCGAACCGACUAAUGUUGAAAAAUUAGCGGAUGACUUGUGGCUGGGGGUGAAAGGCCAAUCAAACCGGGAGAUAGCUGGUUCUCCCCGAAAGCUAUUUAGGUAGCGCCUCGUGAAUUCAUCUCCGGGGGUAGAGCACUGUUUCGGCAAGGGGGUCAUCCCGACUUACCAACCCGAUGCAAACUGCGAAUACCGGAGAAUGUUAUCACGGGAGACACACGGCGGGUGCUAACGUCCGUCGUGAAGAGGGAAACAACCCAGACCGCCAGCUAAGGUCCCAAAGUCAUGGUUAAGUGGGAAACGAUGUGGGAAGGCCCAGACAGCCAGGAUGUUGGCUUAGAAGCAGCCAUCAUUUAAAGAAAGCGUAAUAGCUCACUGGUCGAGUCGGCCUGCGCGGAAGAUGUAACGGGGCUAAACCAUGCACCGAAGCUGCGGCAGCGACACUAUGUGUUGUUGGGUAGGGGAGCGUUCUGUAAGCCUGUGAAGGUGUACUGUGAGGUAUGCUGGAGGUAUCAGAAGUGCGAAUGCUGACAUAAGUAACGAUAAAGCGGGUGAAAAGCCCGCUCGCCGGAAGACCAAGGGUUCCUGUCCAACGUUAAUCGGGGCAGGGUGAGUCGACCCCUAAGGCGAGGCCGAAAGGCGUAGUCGAUGGGAAACAGGUUAAUAUUCCUGUACUUGGUGUUACUGCGAAGGGGGGACGGAGAAGGCUAUGUUGGCCGGGCGACGGUUGUCCCGGUUUAAGCGUGUAGGCUGGUUUUCCAGGCAAAUCCGGAAAAUCAAGGCUGAGGCGUGAUGACGAGGCACUACGGUGCUGAAGCAACAAAUGCCCUGCUUCCAGGAAAAGCCUCUAAGCAUCAGGUAACAUCAAAUCGUACCCCAAACCGACACAGGUGGUCAGGUAGAGAAUACCAAGGCGCUUGAGAGAACUCGGGUGAAGGAACUAGGCAAAAUGGUGCCGUAACUUCGGGAGAAGGCACGCUGAUAUGUAGGUGAAGUCCCUCGCGGAUGGAGCUGAAAUCAGUCGAAGAUACCAGCUGGCUGCAACUGUUUAUUAAAAACACAGCACUGUGCAAACACGAAAGUGGACGUAUACGGUGUGACGCCUGCCCGGUGCCGGAAGGUUAAUUGAUGGGGUUAGCGCAAGCGAAGCUCUUGAUCGAAGCCCCGGUAAACGGCGGCCGUAACUAUAACGGUCCUAAGGUAGCGAAAUUCCUUGUCGGGUAAGUUCCGACCUGCACGAAUGGCGUAAUGAUGGCCAGGCUGUCUCCACCCGAGACUCAGUGAAAUUGAACUCGCUGUGAAGAUGCAGUGUACCCGCGGCAAGACGGAAAGACCCCGUGAACCUUUACUAUAGCUUGACACUGAACAUUGAGCCUUGAUGUGUAGGAUAGGUGGGAGGCUUUGAAGUGUGGACGCCAGUCUGCAUGGAGCCGACCUUGAAAUACCACCCUUUAAUGUUUGAUGUUCUAACGUUGACCCGUGAUCCGGGUUGCGGACAGUGUCUGGUGGGUAGUUUGACUGGGGCGGUCUCCUCCUAAAGAGUAACGGAGGAGCACGAAGGUUGGCUAAUCCUGGUCGGACAUCAGGAGGUUAGUGCAAUGGCAUAAGCCAGCUUGACUGCGAGCGUGACGGCGCGAGCAGGUGCGAAAGCAGGUCAUAGUGAUCCGGUGGUUCUGAAUGGAAGGGCCAUCGCUCAACGGAUAAAAGGUACUCCGGGGAUAACAGGCUGAUACCGCCCAAGAGUUCAUAUCGACGGCGGUGUUUGGCACCUCGAUGUCGGCUCAUCACAUCCUGGGGCUGAAGUAGGUCCCAAGGGUAUGGCUGUUCGCCAUUUAAAGUGGUACGCGAGCUGGGUUUAGAACGUCGUGAGACAGUUCGGUCCCUAUCUGCCGUGGGCGCUGGAGAACUGAGGGGGGCUGCUCCUAGUACGAGAGGACCGGAGUGGACGCAUCACUGGUGUUCGGGUUGUCAUGCCAAUGGCACUGCCCGGUAGCUAAAUGCGGAAGAGAUAAGUGCUGAAAGCAUCUAAGCACGAAACUUGCCCCGAGAUGAGUUCUCCCUGACUCCUUGAGAGUCCUGAAGGAACGUUGAAGACGAC